AAAAACCAAUGGCAUUGCCUCUGGAAAAGUCCCCUGGAUCACUGGAUGCUUAUGGAAGACCGUAACUAUAAACAUGAUGAACAUGUCAUAGAUGGUUUUCAGUUUCUGUAUGACCAGUGGUUCAUCUUUUGAUGGCUUAGAUGUGCUGUGGAGUUCUUCAGCUCUGAUAGAAUUAAAGGACGGCCUACAUUUCACUGUAAUUGUGUAGUGAGACAGAAUUGUGAUUAACUCACCGUUUGGUAGCAGGACCUGGAGCUCCAUUUUGAGGAUGAAACUGGUUCUAAAAGGUGCUCUGGUAUAGAAAAUGAUCUGUAUGUAGGGUUAACUGUUCAUCUCUACAGACCAGCACUGGAGGAGCUCGGGUUUGUUAUGUUUCAGUGUGUACUUUAUUAUCUUUAGAGUCGUUUCAUCCACAAACAGUAAAGAUUGUUGCCUCGAGGGUUUUGGCAAGGACUUAGAUGAGCAUAUAGAUCUUUGCAUUUAGAUCAUCUGUUCUCCCGUUGUUUGUCUGUAAGGCUCGAGGUCUUGAUGCUAGACCAGCUCUCUCACUGCAUUCAUGCUGUAGGUGAAGAAUUCUCUCAUAAUGUCUGUGUGGACAAACGCAAUUAAAGAUUUGCAGCUUUAAUAAAAAAACAGGCAGACGAAUCCAAAUGAAUCAACAAGCACAUGAUCAGAAAACACAGAGACAUUCAGUCAAAUAACAAUCUGGGACCUUAACUGGCAUUUAGCAGACACCUUUAUCCUGAGAAAAACCCGUCAGCAACAUCAGCAGAAGGACCCUGAAGAGAUGAACACACUCAGAACUGCAUGGUUUGAUGAUAGAAUACAGUUACAGCAGAGAAAUGACUUGUAAAGCUGCUUGAUGUUCAGGAGCUAUAAACGACAUGGCAAGUCUUUCUGUACAAAUCAAACCAGUUGUGGACUGUGUAAUACCAAGCAGAUCAAAUCUCUAAAGAUCUAAAGAUUAGAUCUGAACAUGUGGAGAAGAACAUUGCAGUGGUUCUGAAAAGAGCACAUGAUUGUGUAACAGGUGCAGCAGUAAUGCGAGUUACAGUCAUGAUGAGCUCUGGAAUUGUGGAACUGGGAGUUGGUGACUGAAGAACGAGUACGAGCUCGUAGUUCUGAAGGAGCAGUGGAGCAGUGUGUAACGAGCGUUCACUAGAAAAGCUUUGAUUAGGAUGCUGACAGUGUAAAUACUGCACAAUGGGAAUUGUGGCAUCAGUAUCAGUGAGGACGUGAUGAUCAUGUCCUGUCUGCUCAUGUGAUUAUAACACUGGUGCGUCAUUUUGAAGAAACGGCUUAACGGAGUGAUGAUGCGUGUUGUGAAGGCUCCUCACCAUGGCAGCUCGAACAGACUCCAUGUUCUCUGGUGUGUGGGACAUGCGUUUUUAAAGGGUGGAACUUGUUUCUUUGAAAUGAGCAGAAGGGACAGGACCAUGACGUUCUAACUGGUAAUGAUGCUGAAAUUCCCGUUGUGCAGCACUCACACUAUCACCAUUCUUCACUGCUCCAUUCGAACUGAUGGUAAGGGGAUUAAAACGAGCUCCAAACUAUUGCUGAUGCCUCAGGAUCACCAAAUCCUAGUUAAUAAAUGUCCUGCGUCCCUGCGCCUCCUUCAAAACUGCAGGUGUUGAUUUGGUGAUGUAAAUAUAAAGGACCACUUUCUUUAUACUGGAAUACUCCAGAUGUGUCAGCAGCAGCUGGACUUCCUCAGAUAUUAGUCAGAGUUUUCACACAGCCCAUUUAUUGUUUUUAAAAGUAAGUAAAGAAGUUCUUAAAUAUACCCAAGAAGAUCUAAAAGAUAAUUGCUCUAUAAAGCAAAUAAUUGUGUGUGUGCCAGGAAUAAUGAGCACAAUUCUAUCUACAGUCUUUCUGUGUGCGGAACCUUCUGAACAAUUAUUUACACACACAAUUUACUGUUCCCUUUUUAAACAUUUGAUUUUAUAAUUCAUGUGACCAGGAGGGUGGGAACUCGUACAAGAGACGUAUAUAAAGGGGAAUAAUGAAGCAGUGGGAUUUUAGAACAUCUGCACACUUCAAGCUCAGAGACUCGGUUCUCAGUACGGUGGUGUCACACACUCAAGGUAAGUUCUUUUGCCUACACUGGUAAUGGAUAUCACACAAUGUGUGUGUCAUUCUUCAGUAAAAUAACACAGCACCAGGAACACUUUCCCAGUUUUCCAUCUAAUGGAUCUGCUGAAUUGAGUUUCAGAAUGAUGAAGAUGCUGCUGGUGACUCUGGCUCUUGCUCUUCUGCUGACCAGUGGUUCUGGCCUUCAAUGCCACAAGUGUGGUCCAGAUGGAAAAUGUUUUAUUGAAACCUGUCAGGCAUUUCAAGACACCUGUAUCACAACAAGAGUGAAAAACGGCAUUGGUUCAUUUGUAGGAAAGAGAUGCUUGACUCAGGCUCAGUGUGUGCAGGUUCAGAAAUCCAAUUCAUGGCCUACUGCAUGCUGCAGGUCGAAUCUCUGCAAUAACUUUGUUCCAUAAAAAUG
This is a long non-coding RNA of Silurus meridionalis, 2494 nucleotides long. RefSeq lists it as uncharacterized. NCBI's taxonomy places the organism in Eukaryota, Metazoa, Chordata, Actinopteri, Siluriformes, Siluridae. The transcript has 3 exons. The record is from RefSeq and is a predicted model, not a curated record.